RNAcentral lists this ribosomal RNA (770 nucleotides) under Cordyceps tenuipes. Its description in RNAcentral is "SSU rRNA". It matches the Rfam family "Eukaryotic small subunit ribosomal RNA", at positions 182 to 962 of the family's 1831-position model. The record is from RNAcentral. Lineage: Eukaryota; Fungi; Ascomycota; Sordariomycetes; Hypocreales; Cordycipitaceae.
CCCGACUUCGGAAGGGAUGUAUUUAUUAGAUUAAAAACCAAUGCCCUCUGGGCUCCUUGGUGAUUCAUGAUAACUCUUCGAAUCGCACGGCCUUGCGCCGGCGAUGGUUCAUUCAAAUUUCUUCCCUAUCAACUUUCGAUGUUUGGGUAUUGGCCAAACAUGGUUGCAACGGGUAACGGAGGGUUAGGGCUCGACCCCGGAGAAGGAGCCUGAGAAACGGCUACUACAUCCAAGGAAGGCAGCAGGCGCGCAAAUUACCCAAUCCCGAUUCGGGGAGGUAGUGACAAUAAAUACUGAUACAGGGCUCUUUUGGGUCUUGUAAUUGGAAUGAGUACAAUUUAAAUCCCUUAACGAGGAACAAUUGGAGGGCAAGUCUGGUGCCAGCAGCCGCGGUAAUUCCAGCUCCAAUAGCGUAUAUUAAAGUUGUUGUGGUUAAAAAGCUCGUAGUUGAACCUUGGGCCUGGCUGGCCGGUCCGCCUCACCGCGUGCACUGGUCCGGCCGGGCCUUUCCCUCUGUGGAACCCCAUGCCCUUCACUGGGCGUGGCGGGGAAACAGGACGUUUACUUUGAAAAAAUUAGAGUGCUCCAGGCAGGCCUAUGCUCGAAUACAUUAGCAUGGAAUAAUGAAAUAGGAUGUGUGGUUCUAUUUUGUUGGUUUCUAGGACCGCCGUAAUGAUUAAUAGGGACAGUCGGGGGCAUCAGUAUUCAAUUGUCAGAGGUGAAAUUCUUGGAUUUAUUGAAGACUAACUACUGCGAAAGCAUUUGCCAAG